Schistosoma rodhaini is the source of this 45-nucleotide non-coding RNA. NCBI's taxonomy places the organism in Eukaryota, Metazoa, Platyhelminthes, Trematoda, Strigeidida, Schistosomatidae. The record is from Rfam.
AUUUAGCUGACGAGUCCCAAAUAGGACGAAACGCGCGUCCUGGAU